Molecule: ribosomal RNA, 845 nt
Filed under: Salmonella enterica
Lineage: Bacteria; Pseudomonadati; Pseudomonadota; Gammaproteobacteria; Enterobacterales; Enterobacteriaceae
Also listed under: 1 other name
Description: partial 23S ribosomal RNA
Rfam family: Bacterial large subunit ribosomal RNA
Source: RNAcentral
GGUUAAGCGACUAAGCGUACACGGUGGAUGCCCUGGCAGUCAGAGGCGAUGAAGGGCGUGCUAAUCUGCGAUAAGCGCCGGUAAGGUGAUAUGAACCGUUAUAACCGGCGAUACCCGAAUGGGGAAACCCAGUGUGAUUCGUCACACUAUCAUUACGUGAAUACAUAGCGUAAUGAAGCGAACCGGGGGAACUGAAACAUCUAAGUACCCCGAGGAAAAGAAAUCAACCGAGAUUCCCCCAGUAGCGGCGAGCGAACGGGGAGGAGCCCAGAGCCUGAAUCAGCAUGUGUGUUAGUGGAAGCGUCUGGAAAGGCGCGCGAUACAGGGUGACAGCCCCGUACACAAAAGCGCAUGUGUUGUGAGCUCGAUGAGUAGGGCGGGACACGUGGUAUCCUGUCUGAAUAUGGGGGGACCAUCCUCCAAGGCUAAAUACUCCUGACUGACCGAUAGUGAACCAGUACCGUGAGGGAAAGGCGAAAAGAACCCCGGCGAGGGGAGUGAAAAAGAACCUGAAACCGUGUACGUACAAGCAGUGGGAGCACCCUUUGGGGUGUGACUGCGUACCUUUUGUAUAAUGGGUCAGCGACUUAUAUUCUGUAGCAAGGUUAACCGAAUAGGGGAGCCGGAGGGAAACCGAGUCUUAAUUGGGCGUUAAGUUGCAGGGUAUAGACCCGAAACCCGGUGAUCUAGCCAUGGGCAGGUUGAAGGUUGGGUAACACUAACUGGAGGACCGAACCGACUAAUGUUGAAAAAUUAGCGGAUGACCUGUGGCUGGGGGUGAAAGGCCAAUCAAACCGGGAGAUAGCUGGUUCUCCCCGAAAGCUAUUUAGGUAGCGCCUCGUGAA